This 1391-nucleotide ribosomal RNA is filed under the name uncultured bacterium. Its description in RNAcentral is "bacterial SSU rRNA". It matches the Rfam family "Bacterial small subunit ribosomal RNA". The record is from RNAcentral.
AGAGUUUGAUCCUGGCUCAGGAUGAACGCUAGCGACAGGCCUAACACAUGCAAGUCGAGGGGUAACGAUGGUAGCUUGCUGCCAGGCGACGACCGGCGCACGGGUGAGUAACGCGUAUGCAACCUUCCUUUAACAGGAGAAUAGCCCCCGGAAACGGGGAUUAAUGCUCCAUGGCACUCAAAUUUCGCAUGGGAUAAGAGUUAAAGUUCCGACGGUUAAAGAUGGGCAUGCGUGACAUUAGCCAGUUGGCGGGGUAACGGCCCACCAAAGCAACGAUGUCUAGGGGUUCUGAGAGGAAGGUCCCCCACACUGGUACUGAGACACGGACCAGACUCCUACGGGAGGCAGCAGUGAGGAAUAUUGGUCAAUGGACGCAAGUCUGAACCAGCCAUGUCGCGUGCAGGAUGACUGCCCUAUGGGUUGUAAACUGCUUUUGUAUGGGAAGAAAAAUAGCUACGUGUAGUUAUUUGCCGGUACCGUACGAAUAAGCAUCGGCUAACUCCGUGCCAGCAGCCGCGGUAAUACGGAGGAUGCGAGCGUUAUCCGGAUUUAUUGGGUUUAAAGGGUGCGUAGGCGGAAUGGUAAGUCAGUGGUGAAAUCCUGCAGCUCAACUGUAGUUGUGCCCAUUGAUACUGUCAUUCUUGAGUACAGAUGAGGUAGGCGGAAUGAGUAGUGUAGCGGUGAAAUGCAUAGAUAUUACUCAGAACACCAAUUGCGAAGGCAGCUUACUAAACUGACACUGACGCUGAAGCACGAAAGCGUGGGUAUCAAACAGGAUUAGAUACCCUGGUAGUCCACGCCGUAAACGAUGAUUACUGGUUGUNUGCGAUACACAGCAAGCGACUGAGCGAAAGCAUUAAGUAAUCCACCUGGGGAGUACGUCGGCAACGAUGAAACUCAAAGGAAUUGACGGGGGCCCGCACAAGCGGUGGAACAUGUGGUUUAAUUCGAUGAUACGCGAGGAACCUUACCUGGGUUUAAAUGGGAAGUGACAGGGGUAGAAAUACCUUUUUCUUCGGACACUUUUCAAGGUGCUGCAUGGUUGUCGUCAGCUCGUGCCGUGAGGUGUCGGGUUAAGUCCCAUAACGAGCGCAACCCCUGUUGUUAGUUACCAGCAUGUAAAGAUGGGGACUCUAACAAGACUGCCGGUGUAAACCGCGAGGAAGGUGGGGAUGACGUCAAAUCAGCACGGCCCUUACAUCCAGGGCUACACACGUGUUACAAUGGCAGGUACAAAGGGCAGCUACACAGCGAUGUGAUGCUAAUCUCGAAAACCUGUCCCAGUUCGGAUUGAAGUCUGCAACCCGACUUCAUGAAGCUGGAAUCGCUAGUAAUCGCGCAUCAGCCAUGGCGCGGUGAAUACGUUCCCGGGCCUUGUACACACCGCCCGU